GACGAACGCUGGCGGCGUGCUUAACACAUGCAAGUCGAACGGAAAGGCCCUGCUUUUGUGGGGUGCUCGAUUGGCGAACGGGUGAGUAACACGUGAGUAACCUGUCCUUGUCUUUGGGAUAACUUCAGGAAACUGGGGCUAUUACCCGAUAGGAGAUCCUGCAGCAUGGUGGGGGUUGGAAAGUUUCGGCGGUUGUGGAUGGACUCGCGGCUUAUCAGCUUGUUUGUGAGGUAGUUGCUUACCAAGGGUAUGACGGAUAGCCGGCCUGAGAGGGUGGCCAGGCACAAUGGUACUGCGGUACGGACCAGAAGGCUACGUGAGGCAGCAGUGGGGAGUAUUACACAGUGGGCGGAAGCCUGAUGCGACGGCGCCGCGUGCGUGAUGACGUCCUUCGAGUUAUAAACCGCUGUCGCCUGAGACGUAGCGUGAGUGACGGUAAUGGGUAAAGAAGCACCGGCUAACUACGUG
Molecule: ribosomal RNA, 468 nt
Filed under: uncultured bacterium
Lineage: Bacteria
Description: partial 16S ribosomal RNA
Rfam family: Bacterial small subunit ribosomal RNA
Source: RNAcentral